Planococcus citri (citrus mealybug) is the source of this 2268-nucleotide RNA transcript. It is a transcript of the gene named U3 small nucleolar RNA-associated protein 25 homolog, with no coding region annotated. The transcript is spliced from 10 exons. NCBI's taxonomy places the organism in Eukaryota, Metazoa, Arthropoda, Insecta, Hemiptera, Pseudococcidae. The record is from RefSeq and is a predicted model, not a curated record.
UCUUACUCGUACUGCUCAUGGUGAAUUUGUGACGAUUCUAAACAAAAAUAAUACCGUUUAAGAUUAGUUAAAAACUCUUAUUUCGAAGUAUAUUAAUGGAAGUUGAAUGGAAGUUGUUCGACUCCGAGAUGACUGAAAUAAUCGAUUCGUUAAGUUCGUUUUGUACGCAUUUCAAAGAUGUUGAUCCUGCCGACGAUUCGACUUCGAUCGAGGUGGAAAAAUUUGACGAAAAUAAGCUGUUGUGGCCUUCGUUGAGACAGCUCGUGUUGAAAACACCCAAGUAUGUCAAUCCUGUAAUACCAAAUGAAGUUCCAAAGACCGAGAACCCUAUCUUAGCUCUGGAUGAAUUCCAAAUUCAAACGUCUCUGAAAAAUAACAUUCGCAAGGCUGGAGCUGCUCUAAUUCCAGAAGGUAGCACGACUCCUUUACAGCUGGAAAUGCUAUCGAUAAUAAACCAGUAUAAGGAUUUGUAUUAUACCGAGAGGAAUUUUGAUAAUGGCGAACAGAUUCGAUUAGUUUACUGUCUGCAUGUUUUGGAUCAUGUGCUGAAAACUCGUUCGAUAAUUAUGGCGAAUAAUGCCUCAAUUACGAGUAAAUUCGAUGUACCUGAUGAAAUGCGAGAUCAAGGAGUGGUACGACCUAGUGUACUGAUUCUGGCACCGUUUAAGGAUUCUGCUUUCAAGAUUAUCAAUAUGAUGUCGACGAUGAUGUUUCCAAAUCAAAAAGGGAACGUGAUAAAUAGAAAAAGAUUUCAAGACGAGUUCACCGGUGAAGAAAUAACUGUAUCUCAGAAGUCUUCUCGACCCGACGAUUUCUCCAAAACUUUCGCUGGAAAUAUCGACGAUAAUUUCAAAAUCGGUAUCUCUAUCACGAAGAAAAGUCUCAAACUGUAUACAGAUUUUUACCACUGUGAUAUUAUAAUAGCUUCACCUUUGGGUUUACGUAUGGUGAUUGGUUCAGAAGGAGAAUCUGAAUACGAUUACGAUUUCCUGUCUUCCAUCGAAGUAUUGAUAUUAGAUCAAGCUGAUGUGUUUUUAAUGCAGAAUUGGGAUCACGUACUGCAUAUUAUGGACCAUGUGAAUUUACAACCUCGAAAAUCUCACGAUACUGAUUUCUCCAGAGUUCGAUACUGGGCUGCAAACGGCUGGUCGAAGUAUUAUCGCCAGAAUUUAAUAUUUUGUUCUCAUCCUUCGCUUCAAAUAUCCGCAUUGGUUAGCAGAAAAUGUCACAAUUACGCUGGAUGUGCUCGAACCGCCAAUCCUGUCGCUCGAGGCACGAUUAGUCAAGUUGUUGUGUCGAUUCCACACAUAUUCCACCGGUUGACCGAUACAUCUGCUGUGAAAACUGCUGACGAAAGAUUCGAAGUAUUUACGCAGAAGUUACUUCCCCAGUGUCAGGAUAAUCUGAAGAAGGGAGUUUUGAUCUACGUACCUUCGUAUUUCGAUUUCAUUAGGUUAAGAAAUUACUUCAUCAGCGAAGCUAUAAGUUUUGCGGAUAUUUGCGAGUAUACCAAGGAUAAAAAAGUAGCUGAAGCCAGAGAUAUGUUCUUUCAUUCGGAAGUUAAUUAUUUGCUGUAUAGUGAGCGAUUCCAUUUCUUUAUGAGAAGAAGAGUUCGAGGGAUCAGACAUUUGAUAUUUUACCAGUUACCAACGUUUCCGCAUUUUUACAGCGAGUUGUGCAAUUUAAUGAACGACGCCAAUAAGAGGAUCAAAACCGAAGAAGAUAUUUGUUCUUCGAUAACUGGAAUUUACAGCAAGUUCGACGCUCCUCAACUCGCAUCGAUAGUCAGUUCUGAUCGAGCAGCUCAAAUGUUAGCUUCGAAAAAAGACGUUCAUAUGAUAAUGGUUGAAAGUACCUAAAAAAAUCAAGUUAGAUGAGCAAGAAUUUGGCUGGUGAAAUCAGAAAUGAUACUUGAAUUGGUUUCAAUUUUCACCUUAAUUUAGUUGAUAAAACCUGACUCCAACUUCCAGGAGCUGCACAUAGAUCUACUACUUUGGUGACUCCUGUUGACAAAAUUUACACAGGUCUUAGUGAUGGAAAAAAGUGAAGAAAAUUUACGCCACCUUCUAAAAUAUUGAAUUCUUCGUUGAUGUGUAGAAGUUUGAAGGCACUUCGGGCUCGCCAUCCUUCUUCUUUGGCUUGUCUGUAGUAAGUAUCACGUUUAUCCUUCGAUGCUUUACCCAUUUUACAUGGAUUUUGUGAAUUUUAGCUCGAUUUUAGAUCAUUUUUCACAAUUUUGUGAAAACACUACUCAAAAAUUAUCAAAAA